GUGAUCAUCGAGUCUUUGAACGCAUCUUGCGCCCCUUGGCAUUCCGAGGGGCACACCCGUUUGAGCGUCGUUAAUUCCUCAACCUUCUCCGUUUCUUUUGAUCGGGGAAGGCUUGGACUUUGGAGGAUUUUGCUGGGCUUUCUCUCGAAGCCCAGCUCCUCUUAAAUGGAUUAGCAGGGUCUCCUCAGCCGAAUCCCUUGACGUGAUAAGCAGUUCUACGUCCUGGUUUUUGGCUCCUGACCCCCCUCCCGUCUCGUUGAGAUAACGUGUAACCCUUGACCUCAAAUCGGGUGAGACUACCCGCUGAACUUAAGCAUAU
RNAcentral lists this ribosomal RNA (319 nucleotides) under uncultured Lactarius. RNAcentral's name for it is "eukaryotic LSU rRNA". The stretch from base 1 to 70 matches the Rfam family "5.8S ribosomal RNA", at positions 85 to 154 of the family's 154-position model. The record is from RNAcentral. Lineage: Eukaryota; Fungi; Basidiomycota; Agaricomycetes; Russulales; Russulaceae.